RNAcentral lists this ribosomal RNA (514 nucleotides) under uncultured bacterium. Its description in RNAcentral is "partial 16S ribosomal RNA". It matches the Rfam family "Bacterial small subunit ribosomal RNA", at positions 28 to 523 of the family's 1533-position model. The record is from RNAcentral.
GAUGAACGCUGGCGGCGUGCCUAAUACAUGCAAGUCGAGCGAACAGAAGAGAAGCUUGCUUCUCUGAUGUUAGCGGCGGACGGGUGAGUAACACGUGGGUAACCUACCUAUAAGACUGGGAUAACUCCGGGAAACCGGGGCUAAUACCGGAUAAUAUUUUGAACCGCAUGGUUCAAUAGUGAAAGACGGUUUCGGCUGUCACUUAUAGAUGGACCCGCGCCGUAUUAGCUAGUUGGUAAGGUAACGGCUUACCAAGGCGAUGAUACGUAGCCGACCUGAGAGCGUGAUCGGCCACACUGGAACUGAGACACGGUCCAGACUCCUACGGGAGGCAGCAGUAGGGAAUCUUCCGCAAUGGGCGAAAGCCUGACGGAGCAACGCCGCGUGAGUGAUGAAGGUCUUCGGAUCGUAAAACUCUGUUGUUAGGGAAGAACAAAUUUGUUAGUAACUGAACAAGUCUUGACGGUACCUAACCAGAAAGCCACGGCUAACUACGUGCCAGCCGCCGCCGUAA